This 77-nucleotide transfer RNA is filed under the name Varunaivibrio sulfuroxidans. RNAcentral's name for it is "tRNA-Arg". It matches the Rfam family "tRNA". Rfam says of the family: Transfer RNA (tRNA) molecules are approximately 80 nucleotides in length. Their secondary structure includes four short double-helical elements and three loops (D, anti-codon, and T loops). Further hydrogen bonds mediate the characteristic L-shaped molecular structure. tRNAs have two regions of fundamental functional importance: the anti-codon, which is responsible for specific mRNA codon recognition, and the 3' end, to which the tRNAs corresponding amino acid is attached (by aminoacyl-tRNA synthetases). tRNAs cope with the degeneracy of the genetic code in two manners: having more than one tRNA (with a specific anti-codon) for a particular amino acid; and 'wobble' base-pairing, i.e. permitting non-standard base-pairing at the 3rd anti-codon position. Lineage: Bacteria; Pseudomonadati; Pseudomonadota; Alphaproteobacteria; Rhodospirillales; Magnetovibrionaceae. The record is from RNAcentral. RNAcentral also lists the same sequence under 4 other names.
GGCCCCGUAGCUCAGCAGGAUAGAGCACCAGAUUCCUAAUCUGGGGGUCACAGGUUCGAAUCCUGUCGGGGUCACCA